RNAcentral lists this ribosomal RNA (496 nucleotides) under uncultured bacterium. RNAcentral's name for it is "partial 16S ribosomal RNA". It matches the Rfam family "Bacterial small subunit ribosomal RNA", at positions 28 to 506 of the family's 1533-position model. The record is from RNAcentral.
GAUGAACGCUGGCGGCGUGCCUAAUACAUGCAAGUCGAGCGAACGGACGAGAAGCUUGCUUCUCUGAUGUUAGCGGCGGACGGGUGAGUAACACGUGGAUAACCUACCUAUAAGACUGGGAUAACCUCGGGAAACCGUAGCUAAUACCGGAUAAUAUUUUGAACCGCAUGGUUCAAAAGUGAAAGACGGUCUUGCUGUCACUUAUAGAUGGAUCCGCGCUGCAUUAGCUAGUUGGUAAGGUAACGGCUUACCAAGGCAACGAUGCAUAGCCGACCUGAGAGGGUGAUCGGCCACACUGGAACUGAGACACGGUCCAGACUCCUACGGGAGGCAGCAGUAGGGAAUCUUCCGCAAUGGGCGAAAGCCUGACGGAGCAACGCCGCGUGAGUGAUGAAGGUCUUCGGAUCGUAAAACUCUGUUAUUAGGGAAGAACAUAUGUGUAAGUAACUGUGCACAUCUUGACGGUACCUAAUCAGAAAGCCACGGCUAACUACGU